This 253-nucleotide ribosomal RNA is filed under the name uncultured bacterium. RNAcentral describes it as "partial 16S ribosomal RNA". It matches the Rfam family "Bacterial small subunit ribosomal RNA", at positions 524 to 776 of the family's 1533-position model. The record is from RNAcentral.
GACGAACCGAGCGAACGUUGUUCGGAAUCACUGGGCUUAAAGGACGCGUAGGCGGGCUGUCAAGUCUGGGGUGAAAUCCCGCGGCUCAACCGUGGAACUGCCUCAGAUACUGACGGCCUCGAGGGAGAUAGGGGCGAGCGGAACUAAUGGUGGAGCGGUGAAAUGCGUUGAUAUCAUUAGGAACUCCGGUGGCGAAGGCGGCUCGCUGGAUCUUUUCUGACGCUGAGGCGCGAAAGCUAGGGGAGCAAACGGG